AUAUACACAUAUGUAUUGCAACUAAUUAACAACUGUUUAAAAAAAUAUUUUAGGAACAGAAAACGCGCUACCUAGUGAACUUGUCAGUCAGCUGAUUACAGUCUAUGACUAACGCUGGUCGUUAUGUGUGAAUGAAGACUUCAUUGAGUAUUGAUUGGAAGUUGGAACUUUGUAUCUUCUACCGAUUAGAAUGCUGACUGCAGCUGAAUAUAUUUUUCCUUAUAUCAAUGUUUCUGAGUGGCCCACCUGAAUUUUUUAAUCUCAGUGGACCACUGUGCUGUCACAACCUUUCCGUAAUAAUACAACCUUUCUAUGGACCACCUGAAGGAAACUCGUGGAUCACACAUUCAGAAUUACUGUUUUACAUUAUUUAUUUACGCACAGAGUGGGUUAACUUCAACCUUGACAUACAUUAUAAGUUUAAAUUUUAAAAAUGAAACAACCAAAGAUAUCUGUUUGCCUUGUUUAUGUAAUAUCUUGUACAAAGACUUUCUUUUAAGCCUAAUUUUCUGUAUUACCGGUAAGCUUUAUAUAGAAUCAUUUGUUAGCUGAACAGAAAUAUCAGAUUCCUUUACUAGCUAAAACAUGCCAUUUUCUUUAAAUUUGCAGAUUUUACUAGGAAAAAAAACACUUUUUUUUUUCAAAUUUGUGAUCAAGAUUAUGUUACCCUUAUUAUGACCU
Long non-coding RNA from Limulus polyphemus (Atlantic horseshoe crab), 681 nucleotides. RefSeq lists it as uncharacterized. The record is from RefSeq and is a predicted model, not a curated record. Lineage: Eukaryota; Metazoa; Arthropoda; Merostomata; Xiphosura; Limulidae. The transcript has 3 exons.